AGCGCCGAAUUUGCUGACAAGGUUGGUCGAUUUUUUCAAGCCGUCGCGCAGUGUACGUAUAAUUA
This 65-nucleotide ribosomal RNA is filed under the name Proteus mirabilis. RNAcentral's name for it is "partial 23S ribosomal RNA". Lineage: Bacteria; Pseudomonadati; Pseudomonadota; Gammaproteobacteria; Enterobacterales; Morganellaceae. The record is from RNAcentral.